Molecule: ribosomal RNA, 1459 nt
Filed under: Enterococcus sp. A20
Lineage: Bacteria; Bacillati; Bacillota; Bacilli; Lactobacillales; Enterococcaceae
Description: bacterial SSU rRNA
Rfam family: Bacterial small subunit ribosomal RNA
Source: RNAcentral
GCGGCGUGCCUAAUACAUGCAAGUCGAACGCUUCUUUUCCCACCGGAGCUUGCUCCACCGGGAAAAGAGGAGUGGCGAACGGGUGAGUAACACGUGGGUAACCUGCCCAUCAGAAGGGGAUAACACUUGGAAACAGGUGCUAAUACCGUAUAACAAUCGAAACCGCAUGGUUUCGUUUUGAAAGGCGCUUUACGGUGCCGCUGAUGGAUGGACCCGCGGUGCAUUAGCUAGUUGGUGAGGUAACGGCUCACCAAGGCCACGAUGCAUAGCCGACCUGAGAGGGUGAUCGGCCACAUUGGGACUGAGACACGGCCCAAACUCCUACGGGAGGCAGCAGUAGGGAAUCUUCGGCAAUGGACGAAAGUCUGACCGAGCAACGCCGCGUGAGUGAAGAAGGUUUUCGGAUCGUAAAACUCUGUUGUUAGAGAAGAACAAGGGUGAGAGUAACUGUUCACCCCUUGACGGUAUCUAACCAGAAAGCCACGGCUAACUACGUGCCAGCAGCCGCGGUAAUACGUAGGUGGCAAGCGUUGUCCGGAUUUAUUGGGCGUAAAGCGAGCGCAGGCGGUUUCUUAAGUCUGAUGUGAAAGCCCCCGGCUCAACCGGGGAGGGUCAUUGGAAACUGGGAGACUUGAGUGCAGAAGAGGAGAGUGGAAUUCCAUGUGUAGCGGUGAAAUGCGUAGAUAUAUGGAGGAACACCAGUGGCGAAGGCGGCUCUCUGGUCUGUAACUGACGCUGAGGCUCGAAAGCGUGGGGAGCAAACAGGAUUAGAUACCCUGGUAGUCCACGCCGUAAACGAUGAGUGCUAAGUGUUGGAGGGUUUCCGCCCUUCAGUGCUGCAGCUAACGCAUUAAGCACUCCGCCUGGGGAGUACGACCGCAAGGUUGAAACUCAAAGGAAUUGACGGGGGCCCGCACAAGCGGUGGAGCAUGUGGUUUAAUUCGAAGCAACGCGAAGAACCUUACCAGGUCUUGACAUCCUUUGACCACUCUAGAGAUAGAGCUUCCCCUUCGGGGGCAAAGUGACAGGUGGUGCAUGGUUGUCGUCAGCUCGUGUCGUGAGAUGUUGGGUUAAGUCCCGCAACGAGCGCAACCCUUAUUGUUAGUUGCCAUCAUUUAGUUGGGCACUCUAGCAAGACUGCCGGUGACAAACCGGAGGAAGGUGGGGAUGACGUCAAAUCAUCAUGCCCCUUAUGACCUGGGCUACACACGUGCUACAAUGGGAAGUACAACGAGUCGCGAAGUCGCGAGGCUAAGCUAAUCUCUUAAAGCUUCUCUCAGUUCGGAUUGUAGGCUGCAACUCGCCUACAUGAAGCCGGAAUCGCUAGUAAUCGCGGAUCAGCACGCCGCGGUGAAUACGUUCCCGGGCCUUGUACACACCGCCCGUCACACCACGAGAGUUUGUAACACCCGAAGUCGGUGAGGUAACCUUUUUGGAGCCAGCCGCCUAAGGUGGAUAG